CCUGGCUCAGAACGAACGCUGGCGGCAGGCUUAACACAUGCAAGUCGAGCGCCCCGCAAGGGGAGCGGCAGACGGGUGAGUAACGCGUGGGAAUCUACCCUUUUYUACGGAAUAACGCAGGGAAACUUGUGCUAAUACCGUAUGAGCCCUUCGGGGGAAAGAUUUAUCGGGAAAGGAUGAGCCCGCGUUGGAUUAGCUAGUUGGUGGGGUAAAGGCCUACCAAGGCGACGAUCCAUAGCUGGUCUGAGAGGAUGAUCAGCCACAUUGGGACUGAGACACGGCCCAAACUCCUACGGGAGGCAGCAGUGGGGAAUAUUGGACAAUGGGCGCAAGCCUGAUCCAGCCAUGCCGCGUGAGUGAUGAAGGCCCUAGGGUUGUAAAGCUCUUUCACCG
RNAcentral lists this ribosomal RNA (393 nucleotides) under Ensifer meliloti. RNAcentral's name for it is "Sinorhizobium meliloti bacterial SSU rRNA". It matches the Rfam family "Bacterial small subunit ribosomal RNA", at positions 18 to 441 of the family's 1533-position model. Lineage: Bacteria; Pseudomonadati; Pseudomonadota; Alphaproteobacteria; Hyphomicrobiales; Rhizobiaceae. The record is from RNAcentral.